ACGGCUCAGUAACACGUGGAUAACCUACCCUAAGGUGGGAGAUAACCCCGGGAAACUGGGGAUAAUACCCCAUAGUCUAUGGAAGCUGGAAUGCUCUAUAGUUGAAAGAUUUAUCGCCUUAGGAUGGGUCUGCGGCCGAUUAGGUAGUUGUUGGGGUAACGGCCCAACAAGCCUUUGAUCGGUACGGGUUGUGGGAGCAAGAGCCCGGAGAUGGAUUCUGAGACACGAAUCCAGGCCCUACGGGGCGCAGCAGGCGCGAAAACUUUACAAUGCGGGAAACCGUGAUAAGGGAACUCCGAGUGCCCGUAAACGCGGGCUGUCCAUCUGCUUAAAAAACAGGUGAAGAAAGGGCCGGGCAAGACCGGUGCCAGCCGCCGCGGUAAUACCGGCGGCUCGAGUGGUGGCCACUAUUACUGGGCUUAAAGCGUCCGUAGCUUGGUUGUUAAGUCUCUUGGGAAAUCUGUCGGCUUAACCGACAGGCGUUUAAGGGAUACUGGCAAUCUAGGGACCGGGAGAGGUGAGAGGUACUCCAGGGGUAGGAGUGAAAUCCUGUAAUCCUUGGGGGACCACCUGUGGCGUAGGCGUCUCACCAGAACGGCUCCGACAGUGAGGGACGAAAGCUGGGGGAGCAAACCGGAUUAGAUACCCGGGUAGUCCCAGCCGUAAACGAUGCGCGUUAGGUGUAUCGGUGACCACGAGUCACCGAGGUGCCGAAGGGAAACCGUGAAACGUGCCGCCUGGGAAGUACGGUCGCAAGGCUGAAACUUAAAGGAAUUGGCGGGGGAGCAC
This 789-nucleotide ribosomal RNA is filed under the name uncultured archaeon. Its description in RNAcentral is "bacterial SSU rRNA". It matches the Rfam family "Archaeal small subunit ribosomal RNA", at positions 85 to 879 of the family's 1478-position model. The record is from RNAcentral.